Molecule: non-coding RNA, 72 nt
Organism: Phrynosoma platyrhinos (Desert horned lizard)
Lineage: Eukaryota; Metazoa; Chordata; Lepidosauria; Squamata; Phrynosomatidae
Source: the annotation of a GenBank genome assembly
GCCAAUGUGGCCUAGUGGUUAGAGCUUUGGGCUAGGAUUCUGGAGACCAGGGUUCAAAUCCCAGCUUGGCCA